ACAUUCGGAAACGGGUGCUAAUACCGCAUAAUAUCUUCUUCCGCAUGGAAGAAGAUUGAAAGACGGCUCUGCUGUCACUUAUAGAUGACCUUGCGGUGCAUUAGUUAGUUGGUGGGGUAACGGCCUACCAAGACGAUGAUGCAUAGCCGACCUGAGAGGGUGAUCGGCCACAUUGGGACUGAGACACGGCCCAAACUCCUACGGGAGGCAGCAGUAGGGAAUCUUCCGCAAUGGGCGAAAGCCUGACGGAGCAAUGCCGCGUGAGUGAAGAAGGCCUUCGGGUCGUAAAACUCUGUUAUAAGAGAAGAACAAAUUGUAGAGUAACUGCUACAGUCUUGACGGUAUCUUAUCAGAAAGCCACGGCUAACUACGUGCCAGCAGCCGCGGUAAUACGUAGGUGGCAAGCGUUGUCCGGAUUUAUUGGGCGUAAAGGGAGCGCAGGUGGUUUCUUAAGUCUGAUGUGAAAGCCCACGGCUUAACCGUGGAGGGUCAUUGGAAACUGGGAAACUUGAGUACAGAAGAGGAAUGUGGAACUCCAUGUGUAGCGGUGGAAUGCGUAGAUAUAUGGAAGAACACCAGUGGCGAAGGCGACAUUCUGGUCUGUUACUGACACUGAGGCUCGAAAGCGUGGGGAGCAAACAGGAUUAGAUACCCUGGUAGUCCACGCCGUAAACGAUGAGUGCU
Molecule: ribosomal RNA, 684 nt
Filed under: Aerococcus sp. A06_41
Lineage: Bacteria; Bacillati; Bacillota; Bacilli; Lactobacillales; Aerococcaceae
Description: bacterial SSU rRNA
Rfam family: Bacterial small subunit ribosomal RNA
Source: RNAcentral